CCUACGGGGGGCAGCAGUUGGGAAUCUUGCACAAUGGGGGAAACCCUGAUGCAGCGACGCCGCGUGGAGGAUGACGGGUCUAGGCCUGUAAACUCCUUUUAUCAGGAAAGACUUAGGACGGUACCUGAUGAAUAAGCCCCGGCUAACUACGUGCCAGCAGCCGCGGUAAGACGUAGGGGGCAAGCGUUGUCCGGAUUUACUGGGCGUAAAGGGCGCGUAGGCGGCCUGUUAAGUGUGAAGUGAAAUCUCCAGAGCUAAAGCCGGAAACUGCGUCGCAUACUGGCAUGGCUUGAGGAAUGCAGAGGUGAAUAGAAUUCCUGGUGUAGCGGUGAAAUGCGUAGAUAUCAGGAGGAAUACCCAUGGCGAAGGCAGUUCACUGGGCAUUAUCUGACGCUGAGGCGCGAAAGCGUGGGGAGCAAACAGGAUUAGAUACCCGAGUAGUC
This 443-nucleotide ribosomal RNA is filed under the name uncultured bacterium. RNAcentral's name for it is "partial 16S ribosomal RNA". It matches the Rfam family "Bacterial small subunit ribosomal RNA", at positions 338 to 795 of the family's 1533-position model. The record is from RNAcentral.